AGCGAACGCUGGCGGCAGGCCUAACACAUGCAAGUCGAGCGCCCGUAGCAAUACGGGAGCGGCAGACGGGAGAGUAACACGUGGGAACGUGCCCUUUGGUUCGGAACAACACAGGGAAACUUGUGCUAAUACCGGAUAAGCCCUUACGGGAAAGAUUUAUCGCCAAAGGAUCGGCCCGCGUCUGAUUAGCUUGUUGGUGAGGUAAUGGCUCACCAAGGCGACGAUCAGUAGCUGGUCUGAGAGGAUGAUCAGCCUCAUUGGG
RNAcentral lists this ribosomal RNA (262 nucleotides) under uncultured bacterium. RNAcentral describes it as "partial 16S ribosomal RNA". It matches the Rfam family "Bacterial small subunit ribosomal RNA", at positions 29 to 317 of the family's 1533-position model. The record is from RNAcentral.